RNAcentral lists this ribosomal RNA (189 nucleotides) under uncultured bacterium. RNAcentral's name for it is "partial 16S ribosomal RNA". It matches the Rfam family "Bacterial small subunit ribosomal RNA", at positions 338 to 524 of the family's 1533-position model. The record is from RNAcentral.
CCUACGGGAGGCAGCAGUGAGGAAUAUUGGUCAAUGGACGCAAGUCUGAACCAGCCACGUCGCGUGAAGGAAGACGGCCCUACGGGUUGUAAACUUCUUUUGUAAGGGAAUAAAGUGAGCCACGUGUGGCUUUCUGCAUGUACCUUACGAAUAAGGAUCGGCUAACUCCGUGCCAGCAGCCGCGGUAAU